Molecule: ribosomal RNA, 253 nt
Filed under: uncultured bacterium
Lineage: Bacteria
Description: partial 16S ribosomal RNA
Rfam family: Bacterial small subunit ribosomal RNA
Source: RNAcentral
UACAGAGGAUGCUAACGUUGUCCGGAUUCACUGGGCGUAAAGGGCUUGUAGGUUGCCAAAUAAGUCAGGUGUGAAAUCGUAUAGCUCAACUAUACAAUUGCAUUUGAUACUGCUUGGCUUGAGUGCAGGAGGGGUAAUUGGAAUUUCCGGUGUAGCGGUGAAAUGCGUAGAUAUCGGAAAGAACACCUGUGGCGAAGGCGGAUUACUGGCCUGCAACUGACACUGAGGAGCGAAAGCCAGGGGAGCAAACGGG